Molecule: long non-coding RNA, 4481 nt
Filed under: Homo sapiens (human)
Lineage: Eukaryota; Metazoa; Chordata; Mammalia; Primates; Hominidae
Description: LHRI_LNC1138.19
Source: RNAcentral
AGGGGAACACUCGGCAGAGCCAGAGGCCUGGGCCCAAGUCCUGCCACCAGCUGGCUGUGAAACUGUGGUACAGCACCUUGUGUCCUGCCACCAGCCGGCUGUGAAACUGGUACAGCACCUUGUCCUCAGGUCCUUGGUUUCCUCACUUGUAAAUUCAUGGUUCUCCAUGGCAUCUCUGGUCUUCAACAUUAUUUUGCAUAGAGUCUCAGAAGCUUUAGUGUGAGCGGAUGAUAUGGGCACGAAGCAAGGCACCCAGAAGUGGGGGCAACUACUCUGCUUUCUAAAAUGCAAGGGAACCGGAAAAUCCAGGAGCCGUGCCAAAUGAGAAGAGGAACAAAUGGAGGAACAUCCCAGUCAAGUGACAUUCCUAGUGACAUUCACCAGAACAGAGUCAAGCUUUGGAUCCCAUGUUCUGUGACUUCCUCUUCACCACGCUUCCUCCACACACGUAGCAGCUCAAGGGUUUCUGAUGAGUGGGAGGCUUGACUAGAAUUGAAUUCGAGACAAGCACAAAGAUCAUGAUGCAAAUGAAAGGGACAGAGGGGAGAGAAACAGAAAACAAGUGAGUCAAAUUUGGUCUAUGUUCCCUUUAUGAGCUGUAACGCACACCAUGAAGGUCUGCGGCUUGGCUAUUGAGUCAGUGAGAGCGUGAACCUACUAUUAGAAGAAAAACUCUGAAUACGUCUGAACGUCAGAAAGAACGAAGUUUGGACACAUUGUCUUUAAGAACUGUAACACUCACCCCAAGGGUUUAUGGAUUCAUUCUUGAAAUCAGUGAAACCAAAAGCUUUCCAAAGUUUAACACACAGGGAAAUGACUUACUGCAAAGAACCACUCUUCCCCACGAGACUUCGAGAAGACCCGCUGUCACGGACUGAGUUGUGUCCUCUUAAAAUUCAGAUGUUGGAGUCCAAACCCCCAGUAACUCAGAGUGUGAACGUAUUUGAAGAGGUCUUUAAAGAGGUGAUGAAGGUCUUUGUCUCUGACAAUUUGCCUCUGUGACGUGGAUGGGACUGGAAGUCCAUUUGGAGCCCUGUCUUCUCCACCUAGGGAGAGAGACCCCAUGAGCUCGUCAAGCUCCUUCUGUGACUGAUCAGAGAUCCCACCGUGAGUCCAGCUCCUGGUCCCAUGCUCUGGAUAUAUCGGUCCCUGGCAGCGUGAGUGCCUCUGUGUUCACUGUCCCAUUUGAGAAUUCUAAGUAGAAUUCUGAACAGGCUGGAGCAGAUUGCCCACCCCAAGGGACAGAUGUUGGCUGGUACUGUUGGUAUUCAUGGAAGAUUCCUUCUGACACUCCCUCCUUCUUUGUAAUUGCCAUGAACUGGAGCACUGGGCCAAUAUAAAUCAUCCAAGGGUGAACACGCUGCACAUGGACGGCUCCUCUUUGUUUUUGAAGGGAUUCCAUCUCUAUUUUGCCAUGUGCUCCUUCACCCCACUCCCCACCCCCGUCUUUCAUUUCUUUCUCUGGAAAAGAUACUUCAACUCACAGGACUGCGAUGUUGAAACGGACACCCAAGAGCAUCACAGAUGGGCCAGGCCUGGACCUCUCGGGACAACAUUCCUCACGACUUUUAGAUAGAAGAGAUUAGAGAUUUGGGACUGGUGGCAACUGGUAACGUUUUCAGUGUUUGGUAAACAGCCAGGGUCCGGAGCUCUGGGAACAGCCUGAUUUAGCUCUUUGUUUAAGUUUUGUGUUAGAGGCUCCCAAGAAGCUGAUGCAGGGGAAAGAAAUUAACAACCAUGGCUCAUUCACAGCCAGGCAGCCAAAUGGACAGCUCUAUAAGACUCAAGCCGACAGCGGAGAGAGUGCAACCAAACAGCCUUGGCCCAGCUUUCAGAGGAGAACGUUAUUCACCCCAACUGCUCUGCAUCUGCCUGGAUGUCUGCCAAGAUCUGUGAGCAUUACAGCGUUGGUAUGCUUUGGGUGAGGCCUGUGGCUAUGGCAACAAGUUGGGAGCAACCCGGUCCCUGGGAAUGAGAACAGUGUCUAAAAUCAGGCAGGCGAGGGGCAGGGAGGAGAGGUAAAGGUUGGACUUGCCUGAAGAUGGAGCCGUUUUAUUGUUGUGGGUAAAGCUGCUACCAUUAGGGGCUGUUUACAGAGUGGGUGCAGCUCAAGCUGGGAGCAUGUUAGACUCAGCGACUACGAUCAACCUAUUGACUUGUUCCCAUGAGACAGAGUAAAUUAACUGUUGCAGUACUGGUCAUGUACCACCAACCUCCUGUGAACCAGCCCUCAGUGAAACAUUUAUGUGAAAGGCCAUGGUGUUCCCAUAAGAGGGUGCAUGUUCUCUCCCUUGACUAACUCUUCAGUAUGCCUCAUUCUCACGCGCUGGUGUGCAGGAAGGAGUCCAACAUGCCCCAUUGACAGUCAUGCCCUGUAUGUGGAAAGUCUUCAGGUAGAGCACUGGGCUCAGGUUUGAAGAUGUGAGUUCUAAUCCUAGCAAGGCCAUUACCUCCCAGUGACCUCAUGUCUCGAUUUCCUCAACCACAAAACAAAGGCAUUGGUGAGCUGACCUCUAAGGCCUCUCCAGUUCUCACCUUCUGUGUCUCUACAGACUGGAGACUAGAAGAUUAUGGGCACUUUUAUUGAGUCUUCAUUUUGUUUCCAUUUCUUUGUAGUCAUCAGCUGGAGUUGAGGACAAGUUUUAACAAUAGAUAGGUUUCUUUUUGUCUCUUUUUAAAAAAUUUUAUUUAAAAUAAAUGCCAAGUGUAGUGGCUCAUACCUGUAAUCCCAGCACUUUGGGGAGGCCAAGGUGGGAGGAUUGCUUUUGAGUUUGAGACCAGCCUGGGCAACGUGGUGAGACCCUGUUUGUACAAAAAAUUUUAAAUUAGCCAGGCAUGGUGGCGUGUGCCUAUAGUCCUAGCUACUCUGGAGGUAGAGGCAGGAGGAUCCCUUGAACCUGGGAGGUUGAGGCCACAGUGAGCUGUGAUUGUGCUAUUGAACUCUAGCCUGGGCAACAGAGCAAGACCCUGUCUCUUAAAAAAGACUAUUUUUUAAGAACACUUUUAGGUUCACAGCGAAAUUUGGAGGAAACUUGGCAUAUGUCAUAUGCCCCCUGCUCCCAUGCAUGCACAGCCUCUACCAUUAGCAAUGUCCCCACUCAAAUGGUACCUUUGUUGUAAUCAACAACCCUGUACUGACACAUCAUCAUCACCCAAACUCCAUAGUUCACAUUAGGUUUCACUCUUGGUGUGGUGUACAUUCCAUGGGCUUGAACAACUGUAUAAUGACAUUAUCCACCACUGCAGGAUCAUACAGAGUAGUCUCACUGCCCUAAAACUACUCUGUGCUCCACCUGUUUGUCCCUUCUUUCACUCUAAACUCCUGGCAACAACUGACCUUUUUACUGCCUCGAUAGCUUUGCCUUCUUCGGAAUGUCAUGUAGUUGAAAUCAUACAUCAUGAAGCCUUUUCAGAUUGGCUUCAUAUAGGUUUCCUUCCUUCCUUCCUCCCACCACCUUCCUUUCUUUCUGUAUUCCUAACUCUUGGAUGUAUUUUCCCCAGCAUCAUGACUUGAUGGGACUUUUGCUAAGAUAGGCAAUCAUAGAAAGUCAUAAAUCUCUUGUCAGCCUUAUUGGCUCACCUCCGAGAUGGUUCCAACACUCUUUAAGGCCCACUUUUCCAAUCCACAGAUUCCCCAGCAGAAGUCCAAGCUGCUGAGCCUCACAUCAUCUUUUGCACUAGUAAUCUUUACCACUACUUCACUGUAGCAUUUGAAAAUUUUCAUAUGAAGCCAUAGUUCUGUGUCUUUUUUUUUUUUUUUUUUUUUUUGGAGACGGAGUCUUAACCUGUUGCCCAGGCUGGAGUGCAGUGGCACAGUCUUAGCUCACUGCAAGCUCCGCCUCACGGGUUCAAGUGAUUCUUGCCUCAGCCUCCCAAGUAGCUGGGAUUACAGGCGCGCCACCAUGCCCAGCUAAAUUUGUUGGCAUUUUUAGUAGAGAUGGGGUUUCACCAUGUUGGCCAGGCUGGUCUCAAACUCCUUACCUCAGGUGAUCUGCCUGCCUCAGCCUCCCAAAGUGCUGGGAUUAAAGGUGUGAGCCACCGCACCUGGCCUGAAGCCAUAGUUCUUAACCUCAGUUGUGCAAUAGAAUUAUCUGGGGAAUUUAAAAAUUAGAAAAAACCCAUGCCCUGAAGAUUGUGAUCUAACUGGUCUUGCGUAGCGCCUGGGCAUUGGUAUUUUUUAAAUGUUUCCCAACUGAUACUAAUGUGGCCAUUCUGCAAGCCACAGUUGAAAGGCUUAUUCAAGCAUCCUGUUGCUGAAUGCAUGUCGUCCUUACCACAUGACUCUGGAGGUUUUCUUGUAUUCUGAUGUGGCUGCCCUGUUGAGGCCUGCCCCUUAGAGUGGAGAUUAUCCCCUGCAGUAGGCUGCCUGGAAUAUGAUCCCCAGUGAUCCCUGCUUCCUGGUAUUCAGGCCCUGGUGUGAUCCCUUUCCCUUGAAGCCUGGGCUGGAUUAGUGACUUGCUUCUAACCAACAGCAUAUGGCA